GACGAACGCUGGCGGCGUGCCUAAUACAUGCAAGUAGAACGCUGAAGGAGGAGCUUGCUUCUCUGGAUGAGUUGCGAACGGGUGAGUAACGCGUAGGUAACCUGCCUGGUAGCGGGGGAUAACUAUUGGAAACGAUAGCUAAUACCGCAUAAUAUUGACUAUUGCAUGAUAGUCAGUUGAAAGGUGCAACUGCACCACUACCAGAUGGACCUGCGUUGUAUUAGCUAGUUGGUGGGGUAACGGCUCACCAAGGCGACGAUACCUAGCCGCCCGGAGAGGGUGGUCGGCCACACUGGGACGGAGACCAGGCCCAGACUCCUUCGGGAGGCACCGGUAGGGAAUCUUCGGCAAUGGACGGAAGACUGACCGAGCAACGCCGCGUGAGUGAAGAAGGGUGUCGGAUCGGAAAGCUCUGUUGUAAGGGAAGAACGAGUGUGAGAGUGGAAAGCUCACACUGUGACGGUAUCUGACCAGAAAGGGACGGCUAACUACGUG
Molecule: ribosomal RNA, 495 nt
Filed under: uncultured bacterium
Lineage: Bacteria
Description: partial 16S ribosomal RNA
Rfam family: Bacterial small subunit ribosomal RNA
Source: RNAcentral